This 1881-nucleotide ribosomal RNA is filed under the name human gut metagenome. RNAcentral's name for it is "bacterial LSU rRNA". It matches the Rfam family "Bacterial large subunit ribosomal RNA", at positions 1 to 1985 of the family's 2925-position model. The record is from RNAcentral.
UAAAGCAAAGAAGAGCGCAGAGUGAAUGCCUUGGCAUUGGGAGCCGAAGAAGGACGUGGUUAACUGCGAUAAGCUGCGGGGAGCUGUAAGCAAGCUUUGAUCCGCAGAUUUCCGAAUGGAGCAAUCCGCAUGAAGUAGUUCAUGCAUCCAUACGUGAAUUCAUAGCGUAUGGAGGGGAACCGCCUGAACUGAAACAUCUAAGUAGGGCGAGGAAGAGAAAUCAACCGAGAUUCCGUAAGUAGUGGCGAGCGAACGCGGAAGAGGCCAAACCGAGAGAAGAAAUUCUUUCGGGGUUCGGACUGCAUUUAGCAUUCUAGAUCUUUAGUCGAACAGUCUGGGAAGGCUGACGAGAAAGUGUGAGAGUCACGUAGACGAAAAGGAGAAAGAGCGAGCAGAAUCCAGAGUACCGCGGGGCACGUGAAAUCCCGUGGGAAGAUGGGGGGACCACCCUCCAAGCCUAAAUACUACCCAAUGACCGAUAGCGUAAAGUACUGUGAAGGAACGGUGAAAAGAACCCCGGGAGGGGAGUGAAAAGAACCUGAAACUCUGUGCUUACAAGCACAUAGAGCACGUCAAAGUGUGAUAUGGUACCUUUUGUAGAAUGGUCCGGCGAGUUAUGGUAUGCAGCGUGGUUAAGGACUUGAGGUCUGAAGCCGAAGCGAGAGCGAGUCUGACAAGGGCGAGAAGUUGUAUGCCAUAGACCCGAAACCGGGUGACCUAGCCAUGUCCAGGCUGAAGUGGAGGUAAAACUCCAUGGAGGGCCGAACCGACCUCCGUUGAAAAGGCGGCGGAUGAGAUGUGGCUAGCGGAGAAAUUCCAAUCGAACCCGGAUAUAGCUGGUUCUCCCCGAAAUAGCUUUAGGGCUAGCGUUGUAUUAGAUUACCGGAGGUAAAGCACUGAAUGGGCUAGGGGCUGAGAAGUUACUGAACCCUAUCAAACUAAGAAUGCCGGAUAAUUGAUGUACAGCAGUCAGACUAUGUGAGAUAAGUCUCAUAGUCAAAAGGGAAACAGCCCAGACCCACAGCUAAGGUCCCAAAAUGGAUUUAAGUGGAAAAGGAUGUGGAAUUGCACAGACAACCAGGAUGUUGGCUUAGAAGCAGCCAUACAUUAAAAGAGUGCGUAAUAGCUCACUGGUCGAGUGACUCUGCGCCGAAAAUUCAACGGGGCUAAAAUUCAUACCGAAGCUUGGGCUUGACAGAAAUGUCAGGGGUAGGGGAGCGUCGUAUACGAGGAGAAGUCAUAGCGGAAGCGGUGGUGGAUUGUAUACGAGUGAGAAUGCCGGAAUGAGUAGCGAGAAUUAUGUGAGAAUCAUAAUGGCCGAAAGUCUAAGGUUUCCUGAGGAAGGUUCGUCCGCUCAGGGUUAGCCGGGAGCUAAGGUGAGGCGGAAACGCGUAGCCGAUGCACAUACGGUAGAAAUUCCGUAGCCUCCGAAAAUUUAAACACAGGGACACUUUUGAAGGGCUGAGCCGGGCGUUGGUUGCCCCGGUUGUAAGGGACGCGAUAGAGCGGAAGUCAGUUUGGAGAGAGGCGAGAAAAGCUGUGUGGAUAUGGAAGGAGCCCGUACCGCAAACCGACACAGGUAGACAGGAAGAAGAUUCUAAGGCCAGCGGGAGAAAGGUUGUUAAGGAACUCGGCAAGUUGACCCCGUAACUUCGGGAGAAGGGGUGCUUACGAAGGUAAGCCGCAGAGAAUAGGCCCAAGCGACUGUUUAGCAAAAACACAGCUCUAUGCUAAAUCGAAAGAUGACGUAUAUGGGGUGACACCUGCCCGGUGCUGGAAGGUUAAGAGGAGAUGUGAGAGCAUUGAAUUGAAGCCCCAGUAAACGGCGGCCGUAACUAUAACGGUCCUAAGGUAGCGAAAUUCCUUGUCAGGUAAGUUCUG